CCCUUAGAUGUUCUGGGCCGCACGCGCGCUACACUGAUGCAUUCAACAAGCCUAGCCUUGACCGAGAGGUCCGGGUAAUCUUUGAAACUGCAUCGUGAUGGGGCUAGAUUAUUGCAAUUAUUAAUCUUCAACGAGGAAUGCCUAGUAAGCGUGAUUCAUCAAAUCGCGUUGAUUACGUCCCUGCCCUUUGUACACACCGCCCGUCGCUCCUACCGAUUGAAUGUGUUGGUGAGGAGCUCGGAUUGGCAGCAGUUGGUGGUCCGCCACCGGCUAUUGCUGAGAAGUCCUCCAAACCGCCCCAUUUAGAGGAAGGAGAAGUCGUAACA
RNAcentral lists this ribosomal RNA (326 nucleotides) under uncultured eukaryote. Its description in RNAcentral is "partial 18S ribosomal RNA". It matches the Rfam family "Eukaryotic small subunit ribosomal RNA", at positions 1470 to 1796 of the family's 1831-position model. The record is from RNAcentral.